Molecule: ribosomal RNA, 774 nt
Filed under: uncultured Neocallimastigales
Lineage: Eukaryota; Fungi; Neocallimastigomycota; Neocallimastigomycetes; Neocallimastigales
Description: partial large subunit ribosomal RNA
Rfam family: Eukaryotic large subunit ribosomal RNA
Source: RNAcentral
GUACACGCUGUGACUAGCAUAUCAAUAAGCGGAGGAAAAGAAACUAACAAGGAUUCCCCUAGUAACGGCGAGUGAAGCGGGAAGAGCUCAAAUUUGAAAUCUUAAAGGGUUUCCCUUUACGAAUUGUAGUUUAAAGAAGUGUUUUCUGUUGAGGUUUUGGUAAAAGUUCUUUGGAAUAGGACAUCAUAGAGGGUGAGAAUCCCGUAUUUGACCUUUACUUUCAACUUUGUGAUACACUUUCAAAGAGUCGGAUUGUUUGGGAAUGCAGUCCAAAAUGGGUGGUAAAUUUCAUCUAAAGCUAAAUAUUGGCGAGAGACCGAUAGCGAACAAGUACCGUGAGGGAAAGAUGAAAAGAACUUUGAAAAGAGAGUUAAACAGUACGUGAAAUUGUCAAAAGGGAAGCGUUUGACACCAGUGUUGUUUUUCUGAAAAUCAAUUAAAGAACUGUUUAUGCUAAGUUGUUUAGGACUUUAUCAGCUAACUGUUUAGUUUUGAGCUUUUCUUUAAUGCACUUUUCAGUUAACAAGUCAACAUCAAUUUCUUUUGCUGUAAAAAAGCUUGAGGAAGGUGGCUUGAGAUUCGUCUUAAGUGUUUAUAGCCUCUUGCCUAUGCAGUCGGAGAGAUUGAGGUCUGCAGCGUAGAUCCUUCGGGGCUAAAUGCAUUUGUGCUAAGUUAUAACAUUUUAUAGACAACUUGUUGACUAUGAUUUGUCUUGUAGCUUACUCGCUUAUGUUAUUUUACCUACGCUUAGAUGUUGACAGCAGUAUAGACUGU